Molecule: long non-coding RNA, 1284 nt
Filed under: Vulpes vulpes (red fox)
Lineage: Eukaryota; Metazoa; Chordata; Mammalia; Carnivora; Canidae
Description: lncRNA (ENSVVUG00000026162.1)
Source: RNAcentral
CGCCCGAGCCGAGCGGGCGAGCGGAGCUGCGGGGAGCGCGGGCGAAGGCGGCAGGAGGGAGGGCGCGCGGGAGGCGGCCCCUCCUCGGCGAGCCAUGCGUGCCGCGGGCAGCUGAGGAGCCGCCGGGCGCCGCUGCCAAGUCCCCGCUCCGCUUUUGUCUUGCCCUCCAGUGAAUGGGAAGAUGGANCCCAGCAGCGGCCCCAGCCCCAGCCCCAGCAGCGGCCCCAGCCCCAGCAGCGGCCCCAGCAGCUGGCUCAGGAUGAAGUGCCCGGCGAGAGUGCGGGCGCGGAGGACAGCGACGAUCCCGAGGCGACACCCGGCAGCGACAGAGGCGAGAGCAAGAGAUAUCAUGGACUGAAAGGUGAUGGGUACCCCAAUGAGUUCACUACAAGAUCUCAAAGAUUCCAAGCCAUUGGCUGCUCCAAAGCAUAAAGCCACCCUUCUGGAGAGGCGGCAGGAAGGAAGCCUGGAGGAGGCUCCGCUGUUGGCCAGAGGAAGACCACCUUCUCAGGUGUCUGGGGGAACCGCUGAAGGAGAAUGAGAGAGAUGUCGCUGGUCCCCAGGACAGAAACAGCAGCUGGAACCAAGAAGCACUCAGAGUGGGACUCGAGCCCAGCACCCCUUCAGACUGAAGCUCUUUGAGAUACAUGUGCUUCCUGAUUGGACUGUUUUUGCUUUUCCAUCACCUGCAUAACACAGUUCUGGAUACUUUGGAAUGGUUGGCUUUCUUUCCUUUUUUAUCCUUCCCCCACCUCUACCCCCACCCCUGUCUUGUCUUUUUCUUCCCUUGGCCCUGAGACCUGUAAGAAAAGAAUUGCUUUGGAAAGUAUAAUUCUGUUGCUGAAAUUUGCCUUGUUUAUGAACAAAUUCUUUCCCUGAGGAUUUUCUGAAUUGCAAUCCCAGGUUACUUGGUAAAUGGGGCUGCAUGAUUUGAUUUGUGUAGCACUGAUCCUUAGAUUAAAAAUACAUUUUCUUUCUUUCUUUUUUCCCCCCAAGUUUUGGAUCCAGGUAAUGGCCCGAGUCACAUUUGCUUAGCUACUGAAGCGAUCUCAAUGUGGUAUCGCUUGGAGUUGAAACAUAAUCAAACAUACAUUAUACCUGGGGCUCUUGCAUGCUAUUUGAUAUAUAUGUUACACUACAAAGAAACACAAACCUUGUAGGUUGAAAUUUAAUUCCUGUCUGAUCCUAUAGUUAGAAUGGUGAGAAAUCACAAAAUAUCAAAAGUGGCUUCAAAUACCCUGAAUGUAAGCUAACCAACAAUAAAUGGACAGUUUGGAAAUGCCA